GGGACGCUGAAGGGCACACCUGGAAGGUGACCCUGCAAACAAUGCAGACCUCUCACUGUGAGUAAAGCACCCUAGAAGGAGAAUGACAGUAACCUGGAGUUCAUCUCUUUAAAAGAAACACCAGUCAGGGAUGGAGAUGUCUGCUCAUGGAUGAGAAGUUGCUUCUCUAGAAUUCACAUCGUGAACCAUUCAAGGUUUUUCAUCACUGCUCUCCGUCAGCUAUUCAAUCAAGCAUUGAGUUUCUAGAAUCUCUCCCAGAAAUAAAAGCUG
This 270-nucleotide long non-coding RNA is filed under the name Homo sapiens (human). Its description in RNAcentral is "HSALNT0015951". Lineage: Eukaryota; Metazoa; Chordata; Mammalia; Primates; Hominidae. The record is from RNAcentral.